GCAGCCAUCAUUUAAAGAAAGCGUAAUAGCUCACUGAUCGAGUCGUCCUGCGCGGAAGAUGUACCGGGGCUAAAUUGGUAACCGAAGCUGCGGAUGCAUGCUUGCAUGCAUGGUAGAGGAGCGUUCUGUAAGCCGUUGAAGGUGAACCGAGAGGUUUGCUGGAGGUAUCAGAAGUGCGAAUGCUGACAUGAGUAACGAUAAUGGGGGUGAAAAACCCCCACGCCGGAAGACCAAGGUUUCCUGUCCCAUGCUAAUCAGGGCAGGGUAAGUCGGCCCCUAAGGCGAGGCGGAAACGCGUAGUCGAUGGGAAACAGGUUAAUAUUCCUGUACCGAUUACAAGUGCGAUGUGGGGACGGAGAAGGUUAGCUCAGCCAACUGUUGGAUAUGUUGGUUCAAGCCUGUAGUCAUGCCUGGUAGGCAAAUCCGCCGGGCUAAGAUGAGGGGUGAUAACGAGUGUGCUUGCACACGAAGUGAGUGAUACCCUGCUUCCAGGAAAAGCCACUAAGCUUCAGCUUGUAACGACCGUACCGCAAACCGACACUGGUGCGCGAGAUGAGUAUUCUAAGGCGCUUGAGAGAACUCUGGAGAAGGAACUCGGCAAAUUGACACCGUAACUUCGGGAGAAGGUGUGCCCUCAGUAGGUGAACCUGUACAAGGGGAGCCCAAAGGGGUUGCAAAGAAUAGGUGGCUGCGACUGUUUAUUAAAAACACAGCACUCUGCAAACACGAAAGUGGACGUAUAGGGUGUGACGCCUGCCCGGUGCUGGAAGAUUAAUUGAUGGGGUGCAAGCUCUUGAUCGAAGUCCCAGUAAACGGCGGCCGUAACAAUAACGGUCCUAAGGUAGCGAAAUUCCUUGUCGGGUA
Molecule: ribosomal RNA, 864 nt
Filed under: Alexandrium tamarense
Lineage: Eukaryota; Dinophyceae; Gonyaulacales; Pyrocystaceae
Description: partial Bacterial large subunit ribosomal RNA
Rfam family: Bacterial large subunit ribosomal RNA
Source: RNAcentral